RNAcentral lists this long non-coding RNA (819 nucleotides) under Salmo salar (Atlantic salmon). RNAcentral's name for it is "lncRNA (ENSSSAG00000112365.1)". Lineage: Eukaryota; Metazoa; Chordata; Actinopteri; Salmoniformes; Salmonidae. The record is from RNAcentral.
ACAUACAAAGCCCCCCUUCAACUGACAUGACAAAGGCCUCCUUCUACUAGCUACCAGUCUCAUCAAAAUAAGUCUCAUCUCUAAUCUCUCUUCUCUGUGUGUUUUGGUGAGUCUAGCAAGCUACUAGUCAGUCACAGAGAAAAUACAGACUUACAACACCUAACGGAGAUGUCUGGUGGUCCCCUCUCCUGCUUCUCCAAACAGGGAAUACUCCUACUCUCUAUACUCCACUAUGAAGCUGUUCCCAUUCCAGCCAUGCAGGUGACCUACUCCAACUCAAGUACAGGACUUUGUAACAUCACAGUGAAUUGUUCAGGCUGGAUGUUUUCUGUCUGUGAUGGAGGUCAGUGCCCACUGUACCAGGAAUCUCUGUCAGUCUCUGAGGUCAACAUCACCGUCUCCAGUGGUAAUGGAUUCAUCCAGUGUAUCGUCAACAAUCAUGUCAAUGCAGAGACCAAAUCACAACUCAUGGAGGACAUAUGUAUUGUUGAGAAGAAGGGGAGAGCUGCAGCAUCAACAGUUGGCACCAUUGUGGGUGGUGUUAGUGGUGGAUUGUUCUUCAUUGUGUUAGUUGGUGUAGGAUGGAUCAUGUCAACCAGAAGACGGUGUAAAUAAGAACUGUCAAUGCAGUAUGUCUCAUCUCCUAACAUGUCAACCCAGUGAGCUCUCUACCAGGGGAGAGUCUGGAACCACAGAACACAGUGGGUCCUGAGGUAACAUCAAUCUACGACACUGCAGGGAGACCAGGAGCAGCAGUACCAGCAGCAGUAGCAGGAGGAGAAGAGGGCCAACCAGGGUACAAGUACACCACCAGAAGAG